This is a small nucleolar RNA of Sorex araneus (European shrew), 199 nucleotides long. Its record names the gene SNORA73. It matches the Rfam family "Small nucleolar RNA SNORA73 family". Rfam says of the family: U17 (SNORA73A and SNORA73B) also known as E1 belongs to the H/ACA class of small nucleolar RNAs (snoRNAs). The record is from Ensembl. Lineage: Eukaryota; Metazoa; Chordata; Mammalia; Eulipotyphla; Soricidae.
CCAAUGUGGGUACCUGAUGAGGUCACUCCCUUGGACACUGUCCAGGAGGCACACAGCAAUAUAGGGCUCCGCACUAAAAUGUGCAACCCUUUUCCACACUAUGGGAGAUGAAGCUGGACCUCAAGUGUGCACCUGUAUAUUUCUAUAGCUUCUCAGAAUUUUCUGGACCCUGACUGAGGAGACAAGCCAAUUUUCAAAA